Molecule: ribosomal RNA, 403 nt
Filed under: uncultured bacterium
Lineage: Bacteria
Description: partial 16S ribosomal RNA
Rfam family: Bacterial small subunit ribosomal RNA
Source: RNAcentral
GACGAACGCUGGCGGCGUGCCUAAUACAUGCAAGUCGAACGCAGUGGGGACGGGUGAGUAACACGUGGGUAACCUCCCAUCAGAGGGGAUAACACUUGGAAACAGGUGCUAAACCGAUCCUGAUGGAUGGACCCGCGGUGCAUUAGCUAGUGGGUGAGGUAACGGCUAACCAAGGCCACGAUGCAUAGCCGGUCUGAGAGGACGAUCAGCCACACUGGGACUGAGACACGGCCCAGACUCCUACGGGAGGCAGCAGUAGGGAAUCUUGGGCAAUGGACGAAAGUCUGAUCGAGCAACGCCGCGUGAGUGAAGAAGGUUUUCGGAUCGUAAAGUACUUUUGGUAGAGAAGCGGUAUCUAACCAGUAAGCACCGGCUAACUACGUGCCAGCAGCCGCGGUAAUAC